Molecule: ribosomal RNA, 253 nt
Filed under: uncultured bacterium
Lineage: Bacteria
Description: partial 16S ribosomal RNA
Rfam family: Bacterial small subunit ribosomal RNA
Source: RNAcentral
UACGUAGGCAGCGAGCGUUGUUCGGAGUUACUGGGCGUAAAGCGUGCGUAGGCGGUGCCAUAAGUCUGUUGUGAAAUCUCCCGGCUUAACUGGGAGGGUGCGGUGGAAACUGUGGUGCUGGAGUGUGGGAGAGGUAGGCGGAAUUCCUGGUGUAGCGGUGAAAUGCGUAGAUAUCUGGAGGAACACCGGUGGCGAAGGCGGCAUCCUGGACCGACACUGACACUGAGGAGCGAAAGCCAGGGGAGCAAACGGG